GACAGAGGGGGCAAGCGUUGCUCGGAAUCACUGGGCGUAAAGGGCGCGUAGGCGGGAUGGCAAGUCAGUCGUGAAAUCUCUCGGCUCAACCGAGAAACGUCGGCUGAUACUGCCGUUCUUGAGGGAUGCAGAGGAGACUGGAAUUCCCGGUGUAGCGGUGAAAUGUGUAGAGAUCGGGAGGAACACCGGUGGCGAAGGCGGGUCUCUGGGCAACUCCUGACGCUGAGGCGCGAAAGCGUGGGGAGCAAACGGG
This 253-nucleotide ribosomal RNA is filed under the name uncultured bacterium. RNAcentral's name for it is "partial 16S ribosomal RNA". It matches the Rfam family "Bacterial small subunit ribosomal RNA", at positions 524 to 776 of the family's 1533-position model. The record is from RNAcentral.